Molecule: small nuclear RNA, 95 nt
Filed under: Ursus americanus (American black bear)
Lineage: Eukaryota; Metazoa; Chordata; Mammalia; Carnivora; Ursidae
Source: RNAcentral
UUGCUUCCACAGCACGUAUGCUGGAAUUAGAGACAUGCAUAGAUUAGCAUAGCCCCUGCACAAGGAGGACACGCAAAUUUGUGAAGCAAAUUUGU